RNAcentral lists this transfer RNA (68 nucleotides) under Marmota monax (woodchuck). RNAcentral's name for it is "tRNA.Val". The stretch from base 5 to 65 matches the Rfam family "tRNA", at positions 6 to 65 of the family's 71-position model. Rfam says of the family: Transfer RNA (tRNA) molecules are approximately 80 nucleotides in length. Their secondary structure includes four short double-helical elements and three loops (D, anti-codon, and T loops). Lineage: Eukaryota; Metazoa; Chordata; Mammalia; Rodentia; Sciuridae. The record is from RNAcentral.
GGAUUGUGGCUCAGUGGCAGAGGACUUGCCUCACAAGUAUGAGGCACUAGGUUCGAUCCUUAGCACCA